AUCAAUAAACGUUAAAAGCGAAUGUUUUUCAGAUCACCCGACCAUCCCCAGAGCGUAGACGGACCCGGGAAGAGCGCUUAGGUCCAUUGCAAUGUUCCUGAAGGAGGAAGGGACUUGUCCAAGGUCACACAGCUCCACAGUGGCAAAGCUGGGACUUCCCUGAAGUCGAGAGUUUCGUCAGAUCCCUCCCUGGAAGCCGCGUGGCAACAGCCUGGGCACCUGCGGGAAUGUGGUUGUACAAGCACGCCGCAGGCAGCCCUGAGAUGGUGUUUCCGACAAAGGCCCCAGCUGAGAGACAGUUUGAAUGUCUCAGCCACUGAUAUGUCAGGAGAAGUGCUCUGCUUGGGACCUUGAAGAUCAUUGAUUAAGAGAGGAGAAACUGGAGUCCCUAAGGAAAAGAAUCUUGCCAAAAGUCACAUAAUACAUCAGCAGCAAAACUUGUACUGCUUCAUCUACUGAGUAGAGGCUGGACCCAUAGGGCAGGGCCACCAUGGACCCAGUGAGUCAAAGGAGGGAAAAGCUGUGUCCAGUCGCCCAAGAUGCAUAGGUUUUAGGUUGAAGGUGAAGAGGAAGAGUCCAAAGUCCUAAAUCUUUUCUUCCUGAGAACUGUGAUGGGAGAGGUACAAAAAUGACCAUUGGUCAGAUUUUUAAAAAUUUUUCUUCAGCAAUAACUUUUUUAUAUUAAAAAGUAAUAUAUAUUUGUUGCAAGAAAUACAGAUAAGUAAAAGGAAGGAAAUAAAAGUCAACCAUACUCCCAUCAUCCAAUGAUUAACCAUUUUUGGCAUUUGGCUUAUGUCCUUUCAGUGUUUUUCCAUUAUAUAUAUAUACAUAUUUUUCUUUGAAAAUGUAGGGUCAUGCCAUUAUACUAUUUGGUAAUCUACCUUUUUUAAAAAAAAUUUAUGUACUUAAGAUGUACAGCAUGUUGAUUUGAUAUACAUAAACAUAGUGUUAUGAUUACUACAUCUCUAUCUCCUCAUUUUUUGUGUGUGUGGUGAAAGCACCUGAAAUUUUUGAUAAUUUACUUUUAAAAUAAACAAUAUAUGGUGAA
Molecule: long non-coding RNA, 1048 nt
Organism: Aethalodelphis obliquidens (Pacific white-sided dolphin)
Lineage: Eukaryota; Metazoa; Chordata; Mammalia; Artiodactyla; Delphinidae
Exons: 2
Source: RefSeq, a predicted model, not a curated record